This 260-nucleotide ribosomal RNA is filed under the name uncultured bacterium. Its description in RNAcentral is "partial 16S ribosomal RNA". It matches the Rfam family "Bacterial small subunit ribosomal RNA", at positions 333 to 585 of the family's 1533-position model. The record is from RNAcentral.
UGUCUCCUACGGGAGGCAGCAGUGGGGAAUUUUGGACAAUGGGCGCAAGCCUGAUCCAGCUAUUCCGCGUGUGGGAUGAAGGCCCUCGGGUUGUAAACCACUUUUGUAGAGAACGAAAAGACACCUUCGAAUAAAGGGUGUUGCUGGCGGUACUCUAAGAAUAAGCACCGGCUAACUACGUGCCAGAAGCCGCGGUAAUACGUAGGGUGCGAGCGUUAAUCGGAAUAACUGGGUGUAAAGGGUGCGCAGGCGGUUGAGUA